GGCAGGACUGAGGGCUCUAGUACAGCUGUCUUCACAAAGACCAAGUUGGUGGAAGCCAGGAUAUGCUUGAACAUAUCCAGGAUAUACAGGAUAUCCAGGAUACUCAUGGAGGCUGUCUUACUCUGCUUGGCUGCUCUCACAGGACACCACAUAUUGAGUAAAUUAUGAAGAACAGAGGUUUAUUUUCUCAGUUAUUAAAGUUGGGAGGUCCAUGGUCGAGUCACAGGCAUCUAGGUAAGGCCCUCCUGCUAUUUCUUCAUGUGGCUGAAGGUUAAGGGCAAGAGAGGCAGGAGGGGCCAACCCAUCCCCAAAUAACACAAUGGAUCUAUUUAUGAGAGUGGAACCCUCGUGACUCACCCACCUCCCAUUAGGCUCCAGCUCCCAACAGCAUCACAUUGAAAAUCAAAUUUCCAACACGUGUACCUUGGGGCACACAUUCAAACCAUAGCAAAGAUCCUGAGGAGAGUUUGGGAAAGUUCCAUUACAACAAAAACUAAGCAAAUGAUGGAACAACACUUUUACUAACUUCAGGGAAAUUAAAAGUCAGUUCAAUGAAACUGAGUAAUGAAAGCUACAAGUGUAGUGGUGAAUAAUAUUAAGUCAGAAUCAUAUAAACAACAUUGGUCUAACCAAAAUUAUAAAAUGACUAUUGAGAGGAUAGGGGCUUGAGAAGGGAAGCUGUUCACUUAAAGUGCAACAUGAAAUUAAAAAACUAAGGAGGAGCCCUGUUAGCAUUCUAUUUAGGGGCACAGAGGUAACAAAAUCAUCAGGCAAAAUAAAUAAAACAGGCUGCCUCUGGGGAUGAGGAUAUGGGGCUGCAUGAAAGAUUGGGGCCAUUUGUCUUUAUAUCAAGCCUUAUAGAAGCAUUUGACCUUUCAAAUGCUGUCCAUGGCUCCACUAGAAUUUUUGUUUUGUUUUGUUUAAAAAGACAACAUGAGAGAGAGGACUCAGAAGUCCCUCUAUAUGUUGUAUCAGAAAAAUGAGGUAGUAAUUGGAGGGAGACAUAGGAUCAGGUGGUGGAUUUUUUUGUUUGUCCUAUUUAUUUGUUUACAUGACUAUAGCCAGGUCAUGUUGGUUUUAAUGGGAGAUACUACAGUAUGAUUAAUGCAGUAGUGAAUGAGCCACAGAAAGUGGGAGGUGAUGAUGCAGGGGAUGAGGGGCCAAGCUUGUUCCCAAGUGCAGAGGUGGCCUCAGACAGCAACAUGAUCAUCCAUUAUCACUGGUGGGAAAAUGGAGGAGACCCUUUCAAGUAUGAGGACUGUGAUGGGAUUAAGAGUCCUACUUUUAUUUGAGUCCUACUUUUUUUCCAAGUAAAAAGAGAAACAAGUUCAUCCUCUAGGAGUGAGGAGCUGGGAAUUAGAACUGGGAUGUGAGAAGGGAGGAGAAAGUGAGAAACAGCCCCCUCAGGGGGCCAGAGAGUCAACUGACCUGGGAAAUGGCAUUUGGAGAGGGCAGCUCAGGGGCCACUGAAGCCUGUGAUCAUCAUUUGAGGGAAAGAGAGGGAGAGAAGAGAAAUAUGAAGCAUUCAGGAUGCAGGUGGAGGAGGAUAACAGAGUGAAAGGAAAUGCAAGAAAAAUUUUCUGGUCUAGGGAUGUGGAUGAUUUUUAGCUUGUCAUUUAUCCUUGUCAGAAUCUUAUAAUUUUUCUAUAUCAAAUAUAUCUUGUAGUCACCCAUGACUAGUGACAGGAAUACUUUCUAAGAAAGUUUUCUUAUUCUAUAAAGCAAGUAUCACCCUGAUACCAAAAGAGAGAAAGACCCAUGAAGGGAACAAACUAUUUAUCAAUAUGCCUGAUGAAUACAGAAGGAAAAAUCUUCAAUAAAAUAUUAGCAAUCUGUAUUCAAACCAUUAUCAAGUGGGUUCUAUUCAGAGAUACAAAGUUGGUUCAUAUAUCAAAAUCAAUAAAUGCAAUAUAUCACAUAAAUAGAAUUAAAGACAAAGAUCACAUGAUCAUCUCAGUAAACUAAAAAAAAACCUCAAUAAAAUUCAGUUCCCAUUCAUGUUAAAAAACACUGAAGAAACUCAUAAUUGAAGGAACUUGUGUCAACAUUGUAAAUGCUAUAUAUGUCAAACCCAAAGCUAAUGUCAUACUAAGUGGGGAAAAACUGAAAAUAUUUAUUUAAAAUCCUGAAUAAGACAUCAAUGUUCAUUCUCUUCACUCCUACUUAAUACAGUACUUGAAACUGUAACCAAAGCCAUGAUACAAAAGAUGGAAAUUAAAGAGAUGAAAGUAGAAAAAGAGUCAAUUUUUUUUCUCUAUUUGCUGAUGACAUUAUUCUAUACUUAUAGACCCCAAGGGGGAAAAAACACCACACUUUUAGAUCUGAUGAGUUUAGUAAAGGAGCAAGACAGAAGACCAACAUACAAAAUUUAAUAGCUUACUUAUACACAAAUAAUGAUUCUUCUGAUAAAGAAAUUAGGAAAAGAAUUCCAUUCACAAUAUCCUCCCAAAAUUAAAAUCUGGGAGUGCAUUAAAUCUAGGAGGUGAGAGAUAUGUACAGUGAAAUUUACAAAACUGAAGAAAGAAAUUGGAGACGGCACUAUGUUCUUGGAUAGGCAGAACUGAUAUUGUCAAAUAUUACCAAAGCAAUCUACAGAUUCAAUGUGGUCUUCAUCAAAAUAUCAAUGUCAUGCACAAAGAAUUAGGAAAAAUAGUACUAAAUUUCACAUGGAAGAAUAGAACACCCAGAAUAGAAAAAGCAAUUCUCAGUAAUAUGACCUGUUGUAGGCAUCACAAUACUCAAUCUCAAAUUAUAUCACAGAACUAUAGUAAUAAAACAGCGUGUGUUAACAUAAAAACAUACAUGAAGGGCUGGGGAUGUGGGUCAAGCGGUAGCGCGCUCGCCUGGCAUGCGUGCGGCCCGGGUUUGAUCCUCAGCACCACAUACAAACAAAAAUGUUGUGUCCGCCGAAAACUGGAAAAUAAAUAUUCAAAAAUCCUCUCUCUCAAUCUCUCUCUCUCUCUCUCUCUCUCUCUCAAAAAAAAAAAAAAUUCAUGAAGACCAAUGGUACAGAAAACCUACAGAGAUACAAUCAUCUGAUCCUUCAUAAAGGUGCCAAAAGCACAAGUUAGAGAAAACAGCUUUUUAAGUGAAUAGUACUGGGAAAACUGGAUAUGCAAAAGAAUGAAACUAGAUGACUAACUCUCAUCCUGCACAAAACUCAACUUUGUCCUUUGGGUAUAUACUGAGGAGUGGGAUAACUGGAUCAAAUGGUGGUUCCAUUCCAAGUUUUCUGAGGAAUCUCCAUGCUGCUUUCCACAGUGGUUGAAUGAAUUUGCAGUUGUACCAGCAAUGUAUGAGUGUAGCUUUCCCCACAUAUCUGCACCAACAUUUAUUGCUACUUGUAUUCUUGAUGAUUGCCAUUCUGAGUGGAAUGAGAGGAAAUCUCAGUAUAGUUUUAAAUUGAAUUUCUCUAAUUGCUAGUGAUGUUGAAUUUUUUAUAUAUUUGUUGACAGAUUAUAUUUCUUCUUCUGUGAAGUGUCUGUUCAUCUCCUUUUCAAGAAUCAAUAAAUGGGAUGAUAUCAAACUAAAAAGCUUCUUUAAAGCAAAGGAAAUAAUCAAGAACAUGAAGACAGAGCCUACAGAAUGGGAGAAAAUUUUUGCCACCUGCACCUCAGAGAAUUAAUCUCCAAAAAAUAUAAAGAACUCAAAAAACAACACCAAAACAAUAACAGUAAAAACAACAAUAAAAAUAAAACCAAAACAAAUAACCCAAUCAAUAAAUGGGCAAAGAAACUGAACAGAGACAUCUUUAACUUUUUACAGACUACCUAAGGUAACAUUGUACUAUAUCCAAUAAAAUACAGGAAACUUAAUAACCUCAUGUUUACAGUUAACCACCCCUCUGUAUGAUCACCAUGUAUACUACAUCAGCGUUCAUGAUAAACCUAACCAGACAGUAGAAUACAUAGUGGGAAAGCUACACUCAUACAUUGCUGGUACAACUGCAAAUUGAUUCGAACACUGUGGAAAGGAGUAUAAUACAUAGUGGUAUAAAGUCAUCAAUCAUUUAAAAAAUUAAGUAAAAAUACUUAAAAUAUAUGUCAUAUUCUGUGGUUAGUUAUCUUUUUUGUACAAAUUAGUUACCAUUUCCCAUCAUUACACUCUAGGCUUUUCUUCAUUCCAAAUUACUUACGGUAGAGAAUUACUUAGCAAGGAAUCCUAUCAAUUUUUAUUUAUCAGAUAAAUACUUGGUUUUGCUUUGUUUCUACCUUUUUGUCUAAGAGAUUUGUGUGAAAUAAAAUUCACUAAUUUUGGGUGUAAAUCUAAAUGAAUAUUGGUAAUUGUUUAGAAUCAUUUUUAAACACCACUGUGGUCAGGAUAUGCUUUAGCUAGUCUUACCCUAAACAGUGUUCUCAUCUGCCUUCCCAUUUUAUCCUCUCCUCUACCCCAGUUCUAGGUGACCACCAACCUCCUUUCUGACUGUAAUUUUAAAUAUUCUGGAAUUUUAUGGACAUUCAAACAUGUAGUAUGUAAACUUUGCUAAAACAUAGUUAUUUUUAAGCUUUGUUGUGCUAUUGUGUGCAUUAGUAUUUUAUUCAUUUUUAUUACUGAGUAUUACUAAAAUACUAGUUUAUCCACUGAAUCUACAGAAAAUUUGUUAAACAGGUAUGUUAUUCCCAGGGUAUUAUAAAUAAAGGCAACUAUGAUCAUUUGAGUGUAGUCUGUCUAUGUACGUAUGUUCUCCAGCCUUUUAGAUAAAUGCCUAAGACUUGGGCCAUAAGGUCAGUGUGUUCAAUGAUAUCAGAAUUUGUCAUAUUGUUUUACAAAUGGGUUGUAAUUUUUCACAUUUCUAGCAGUGAUGUAUGAGGUUUCCUGUUGCUCCACAUCCUGUUGACAUGUGGUAUUGUCACAGUGUUUUUGAUGUUAUCCAUUCUAGUUGAGGUGAGGUGGUAGGUAUUUCACUGUGGUUUUAAUUUGUAUGUCUUUGGUAACUAGCAAUGGUGAGCAUCUUUUCAAUACUUAUUUAGGGACUUUCAGGGCUUAGCCUGUAAAAUGUUCUUCACAUCUUUUGUCCAUGAAGUUAAGAGCUGUUUGUCUCAUUAUUAAAUUGUAAAUAUUUUUCAUAUAUUCUGAAUAUUGACUGUAUGACAAACAUAUUUCUUGUAAAACCUUUCUCCUUAAGACUUGGGUUUUAAUGUCCUUUAUCAUGGUUAUUUAAAGAUGUGUUUAAAGCAUGGUCAAAUCCAUUUCAUCACAUUUUGUUUUAUAUGCCUUUUGUUUUAUACUUCAGGUAGUUAAAUUUUUUUGUUAUUUCAAUUUUAAUAAAUCUGCCUCUAUGUUUGUAAAAAGAUGUUCAAUAGCUUUAUUAUAUUAGAUAUGUUGUGAUUUCACUCUUUAUAAUGAUGUGAGUAAGGACUGAGCUCCAUUUCAAGCACAUAUGGAUUUUCAGGUAUUCUAGUACCAUGUGUUGAAGCUCUAUUUUUUCUCCAUUGAAUUAUCC
Molecule: long non-coding RNA, 5443 nt
Filed under: Marmota monax (woodchuck)
Lineage: Eukaryota; Metazoa; Chordata; Mammalia; Rodentia; Sciuridae
Source: RNAcentral